RNAcentral lists this ribosomal RNA (446 nucleotides) under uncultured bacterium. RNAcentral describes it as "partial 16S ribosomal RNA". It matches the Rfam family "Bacterial small subunit ribosomal RNA", at positions 355 to 791 of the family's 1533-position model. The record is from RNAcentral.
UAGGGAAUCUUCCACAAUGGACGCAAGUCUGAUGGAGCAACGCCGCGUGAGUGAAGAAGGUUUUCGGACCGUAAAGCUCUGUUGUUGGUGAAGAAGGAUAGAGGUAGUAACUGGCCUUUAUUUGACGGUAAUCAACCAGAAAGUCACGGCUAACUACGUGCCAGCAGCCGCGGUAAUACGUAGGGUGGCAAGCGUUGUCCGGAUUUAUUGGGCGUAAAAGCGAGCGCAGGCGGAAGAAUAAGUCUGAUGUGAAAGCCCUCGGCUUAACCGAGGAAUUGCAUCGGAAACUGUUUUUCUUGAGUGCAGAAGAGGAGAGUAGAACUCCAUGUGUAGCGGUGGAAUGCGUAGAUAUAUGGAAGAAUACCAGUGGCGAAGGCGGCUCUCUGGUCUGCAACUGACGCUGAGGCUCGAAAGCAUGGGUAGCGAACAGGAUUAGAUACCCUUGG